Long non-coding RNA from Ruditapes philippinarum (Manila clam), 936 nucleotides. RefSeq lists it as uncharacterized. Lineage: Eukaryota; Metazoa; Mollusca; Bivalvia; Venerida; Veneridae. The record is from RefSeq and is a predicted model, not a curated record. The transcript has 2 exons.
GACACUAUGUCUAUGAAUUCUAUGACACUAGGUCUAUGAAUUCUAUGACAAUAGGUCUAUGAAUUCUAUGACAAUAGUUCUAUGACAAUAGGUCAAUGUUUCUUCGUCAGUGUACGAAUGUCUAUUAUACACGAUACUACAAAGAGCAAGACCUGAAGUAUUCAAGCCAGUGAAAUGGUCGCAAACUUGACAAAAUAGUACCCGUGUCAUUAAAUUCUUUAACGCUUCACGUUCCGCCACUCGUACUAUGUCUAUAAUUUUACGACACAAGGCAGACAUAUCACUAAUAUCAUUAGCCAAUUUGAUAGAAUUGUGUUAAUUUAAUGUAUAACUCUUAUUUACAAUUGCUCGGGACAUCCAACGAAGUGUACAAAACUAGCUUAUUUUUUUCUGUGAAAUAACCUUGAUACGUUAUUUUCAGUUCCUAACCCACCUGCCGUAUGUAAGAAGUCAAUCCCUGGAAUUCCGCUGGUGAAAGACGUCUGCGUGCAGGUGAAGAAUAUCGAUCUGAAAAAAGCUUCCGGUUGCGUUUAUAUCAGUUUUAAGGUGAGUGUGAAAAAAAUAUCGAUCAAGAUUGCUUGCUUCACAAUACCACAUGAUGAUAUCGAAAUUGGCGGGGAAAGUGACGUCACAGUUGAAGCUGUUGAACAAAAUGAAGUAACUGAAGACAGUGUAGUGGAAGGGGAAAACAGUGACGUAGAGUCUAUUGAUCUUGAAGAUGGUACACUCAAGUUUCAGCCGUUCUCAAACAAGUCAUGAACAAUUAUGAUUUAACAUUAUUUGCUAUAUACACUCGGGAAAAUACAUGUGUACGAACAUGUGUGAAGUUUGUUUUAAACACGCUACUUCACGAGUUUAUAUUUUCUAUUAUUUUGAAUAGAUUCUAUAUCAAGAUCUAAUUGAUUUAUAAUAAGUCUAAUAAACUAGAAAAUUCUA